This 236-nucleotide ribosomal RNA is filed under the name uncultured bacterium. RNAcentral describes it as "partial 16S ribosomal RNA". It matches the Rfam family "Bacterial small subunit ribosomal RNA", at positions 15 to 233 of the family's 1533-position model. The record is from RNAcentral.
GAUCCCGGCUCAGGAUGAACGCUGGCGGCGUGCUUAACACAUGCAAGUCGAACGAAGCGCUUAAGAUUGAUUCUUCGGAUGAAGUCUUUUGUGACUGAGUGGCGGACGGGUGAGUAACGCGUGGGUAACCUGCCUCAUACAGGGGGAUAACAGUUAGAAAUGACUGCUAAUACCGCAUAAGCGCACGGUGUCGCAUGACACAGUGUGAAAAACUCCGGUGGUAUGAGAUGGACCCG